Molecule: long non-coding RNA, 8889 nt
Organism: Heterocephalus glaber (naked mole-rat)
Lineage: Eukaryota; Metazoa; Chordata; Mammalia; Rodentia; Bathyergidae
Source: Ensembl
GCUCUGUACCCCAUAGCCCUUCAAAAACACUCAGCGUGGCCUUCUUUCAUUUACUCUUUGGGAAUACCUUGGUGCCCACUAUUAAGGGGCUACCUUCACUGUGAUGAACCUCUCAUUUACAGAGUGUUUAUUGAGCCAGUUUCCUGGACCAGGAACUCUAGCAGGUGAGGGGAGACUGUGGAGGUGCCCAAGGCAUAGACCCUUUAAAGUGCUAAUAGUGUAAGGAGGGGGGCUAAGACCCAUCUACAUGUAACUCUAACUUAACAUAAAAAUCAAGUGUAGCAGAGGAGGAACAAAUUGCUGUUGGAGAUAAAAGGAGUGAGGGAUUACUUCUAGUUGGGGGCAUUUGAGAAACGCUUCACUCAUUUCUUCUUCAUUCAACAAGCACAUGAGCAAGAGACCAAACUUUCCUGUGGAUACAGAGGUAAAUAAGACACCCUCUGCCCAUAGGAGUUUAACUUUUAAGGAGAGGCAGGUCUCCAGAUUACAACCAACCAGGAAUAAGGCUAAGUGUUACAGAGAACUGAGGUGAGAACAAAGUGCUGUGGGGAAGCCAAGAGAGGAGUCGUGGUUGAAGCAGAGCUUGAAGAGAGUUUACGUUAGUGAGUUAAUAGUCGAAUGACUAUGACUGCCAUACACAUAAGUAAUCCCAAGUACCAGAUAAAAGGUGCCAAGUGCCCUAAGAGAAAUUCAGAAAAGGAUUAUGAAGGAGAGUUUGGGGUGAAUGUGUUUAUUUCCAGCUGGGUCGCUGGUAAAGAUUUACUAAAGAGGUCAAAUUGGAGCUGGCCCUUAUAGGAUGAACAGGAAUUCAACAGGGGAAGGGGUUCACGUAUGUGUGUGGAGUGAUAAAGCAGAAGGAACAAUGCAAAUGGAGGCCUGUUAGUGGUGAGUGCUCUCAAGUAGUUAGCAUGGACUCUGCCUGGCCAUGAUACAGCCGGAGAAAAUGUAAGAUGAAGCCAAGUCACAGAAAGUACUGAAUGCCAAAGUGGGCCAUUGGACUUUCCUGAGUAGGCAGAGCAAAUGGUGAGUCUUUUCUUCUGUCUAUGCUUUGGGAUUGAGGCAACAGCAAUUAAAAGGAAGGGCUCUAGGCUGGGGAUUUAGCUCAAUGGCUCUGCCGCCUGCCUCGCAAGUGCGAGGACCCAAGUUCGAUCCCCGGUACCAAACAAAAAGCAAGGGCUCUGAAAUGAGACUACCUGGGUUCAAAUGUUACUCCACCACACCUCAGCUGUGUGAACUUGUGAAAGUCUCUUAGCUUCUGGGUCAAAUAGGGCAGAUAAUGAUGCUGCAAGGAUGAGUUUAGUUCCCAUGCUGGAAGUGCCUACAACAAUGCUUAAAAAGAAGGAAUGCUCUCUACACGUCCAUUGUUGUUAUUAGUAAUAGUAAUAGCAGCAGUGAUACUCUUGACAUAAAUGGUAGCAGCCUUAAGAAAUUUUGUACUCUGAACUUCUAGCGACAAACUUGGGAUGGCUGUACAUGCCUGAGAAAACAAGGAAUGAACCUCAGGUACUCUUAAAAUAGCCAGGAUUAUUCUCUCUGUACAAUUGUUGUGCUACACCUGAGUUGAUCCACACAAUAGCCACGUGAAUAGCCAAGCCUCAGCAGCAAACAAUGGCUCAUCCAGAAUGUUGAUAGCCAGGACAAUGGGGACAACUGAUAAAAUGGGCCCAGGGUCCUGUCCAAGAUAGCGUAUCUCAGAGACUUUCUCCAUCCAUGAUACAAGGUGCAUCAUUAGAGUUUACAAACAGUACAGUUCACUGGUAUUGAAGCCUAAGGUUGUGCAAAAAGUCUAAAAAUGAUCAAAGUAUUUCAUUCCCAUGCCCUAGUUGCCUUAGCUUUCACACCUCUACCUCAAAUCGAAAUUUUAAUAUCAGAGUGUGGCUAACCGCAAGUAACACUAAUGUGUUUGCUCAGGGACCUUGUUCACAAGAAACAGCACCAGUCUGGGAGCCAUGGUUUGCAAAGGUCUCUAAAUUACCCCUCAUCCACCCAGUGCAUUUUUGGACACACGCAAGUACAAGUACAUUCAGCAGAUGGCCUGUGAUGUGGUACAUUCUUUUUGCGUGCCGACCUGUGGGGUCAUCAGAUGGAUGUCGUUGUAAACAAGACUCUUGGAGUUGCCCUUACAGUUUGUUUAAUCUGGUUCUUGGUCUUCACUAAGCACACAGGCUGCUGUCACAAGACAGAGGCACCUUAGUAAGUACUGAGAGAGCUUGCAAAUUUCCCUUUUCAAAUGAGCUUUAGCAUAGACUGCUCAGAGGUCCCUUUGCAGAUUCAACACAAGCCCCUGGAAGUUUCUGAGACACCAAGCAAUUAAAAUCCAUCUUUAUUUUUUGAGACCUCUGUGCCUAAUACUCUCAAAGCUCCAUAUAAGCAUUUUUGUAGGCCUAAAAGUAGGGAAUUAUACUGCAUUGGAAAAAUUGUUAUUAUAGGUCUCAAUCAAAAAAGGAUUUAAAGAUAACCGGUGGCAGAUGUUCUGCCAAUAGUCACACAUCCCUCUGAGGUCUGAGCCUUAAGUUCCUUCUCCCUAUUUUAUGCAUCUUCUGUCAGAAAAUGGAUGUAAACUAACACCAUUUAGAUAAACAGUAAUUAAAUCUUUACCUAGGAAAAAGUUAUGUUUGCCUCCUUAUUAUUUCUUUGUUGAGAGGAUAUAUUCUGAAUGAUUUAUGUUUGUUUAAAAUAGACUUUCUGGAGGUGGGAAAGGGAGCAGGAGGAGGGGAAGGUGAGGGAGAAGGGAGUAAAAGGCUCUAAACAGAUCAAGAUGUUAUGUACACAUAGAGAUUCCCCCAAAUGAACAUUACUAUUACAUAUUUCAGACAUACACUAAAAAAGACUAUCCAUUGAAUUUUCUUAGAAUAAAUGUACUUGUGGCAACUAGAGACUUUCAAAAUCAUUCACAGAAUAAAACGAAUAGAUGUGGAAAUGAGCAAACCUACGUUCUGAGGGGAUAUAUAGAGCGAACAAAUCAUAGCGUUUGCUUUAGAGCUCAUCUUUAUGACCUUGAACCAGCCACUAUUCAGACUCAGGUUUUUCAUUUUUAAAAAGAUAUGGGAAGGAUCUGUUACAUUACAGCAUUUUGGUGAGGUUGAAUUAAUCAUAAUACUGUGCUCUGGGAAAUUUAUAAAUUGCAAAGAACUAUUCAAAUGUAAGCCAUUAUUUUCAUCAUUGUCCAAGGUCCUACAGCUUGUAGCUAGGUACUGUUUAUCAGAAUAAAUUAAAUAAUGCACUCCCACCUUACUGCCACUAGAUGGCAGGCGAGCCACUUACUACACUAUUGUCUAGGUUAAGGAUCUAAAAACCUCACACAAUAUUCUGAUUUGGGAGGCAGUGCAACAAGGGACAAAGAACAAGUUAGAAGUCAUACAAAGCAGACACUGCCUGUAUUGUUAAAAGCAAAUCUCAUUCAAUCACCAUAGAUUUGCGAUUUGCCCAAAUUUUUUUAUCUGUGAAAAUAUGGUAUUUCAUUUGACUGUGAGUCAAAAGACAGCAAAGCAAAUAUUUUCUGCAAAUGAGAGGAGAAGGCUAUCCCACUCAGGGGGACAAUUCAGAGACUGCCCAGCACUGUACAGAUAAUCUAUUAUAUUAGGGGUCGAGAAACUGCUUCUGUAAAUGGCCCAUUAGUAAGUAUUUCAGGUUGGAUAGUCUCUGCUAUAACUUUUCAUCUUGGUGGUGGAGCUUCCAGUCUGAGACAAUAUGAGAAGGAAAGGGCAUGGCUAAAUUAUCAUAAGCUUCUAUUUAUGGACACUGAAUUUUGGAAUUCAUAUAACCUUUACUUGUCAUAAAAUAUUCUUUUGGAUUUUUUGAUCACUUAAAAAUGUAAAAAUUAUUUUUAGUCUAAAGAUCAUACAAGAAUGGACAUAGGCUUGAUUUUCCUGGCAGGUAGUAUUUUAUAGAUGCAUGGAUUAAUUUAUAGACUUGAGUCUUAGCUAUUAGAUUGACAGUCUUGCCAAUUAAUGUCUUUCUUUGUCUCUCUCUAUGUAGAUAUGUAAUAUAUAAGUUUUAUAACAAAUAUUUCAAUGUGCUCAAUAUCAUAUAUUUUUACAUAUAUAAAUUACUAAAAAAAAUUCAUGUGGUAGUUUUUGCCUGCCUCUACUAUUGCCUAGUUUGUGAAGAUGAUAGACAAAAAUUUCAAAUAGUUAUUGCAUUUGUUCAUAAUUGCCAGGAAAAACAAUAUCCAGUUAAGUUUGAUUUUCAUUUAAAGGAUGAAAAGUGUUUAGUACACCUGUUUUGCAAAUGUUGCACUGGACAUACAUGUAUAGUACCCUUUAUCUUUAGGAAAUCCAUUUCAAGACCCUUCCCCCGUGGAUAUCUGAAAGCAUUGAUUGUACUGAACUUUAUGUAUACUAUUUUCCCCUACACAUUCCUAAGCACAAAUUGCGUGUCUUUUUCCAUCUUAACUAAGUGUUUCUCAUGCACAUUGUCUGUAACAUUUGGAAUUUGAGAUGCAGCAGCAAAUCUAGCAUCUAUUUUUCCUUCACAAUUUCACAGAUGGAUUUGUUCUUAUUGUAGAUCUUAGCAACCUCAGCAUACAACUUUGUUUUGUUGAAGUCCAGAACUUUUUCCUUUUAAUUUAAAUGAAGCACUUAAUGGCUUUUCUUUGGCACAUUUGAAUGGCCAGCAUCAGUACUCUUACAAAUUGGGGCUGGUAUGUCAUAAAAUAAGGGCUACCAGAACACGAGCCCCACCAAGAUGGCUUCUAAAGGACUUGACAAAGAGAUCAUUCGCUUGUGUCCUAAGUAGGAUGGAGCAGGGUGGCAAGAGAGAUUUCACCAUGCUAUUCAGAAGGAGGCAAAAAUUUAAAUUUAUGAAUGAUUUAUUUCUGGCAUUGUCCACUUAAUAUUUUCAGACCGGGGUUAACUGUGGGUAACUGAAACCAUGGUAGGCGAAACUGUGGACGAGGGAGAGAGAAGUACUGUAUUAAAAAAAAAUAAGCAUUUGCUGUUUAUUCUGGGUCGAGUUUUAACUGGGUGACCUGAAUUUUUAUUUGCUAAAUCUGACAUUUGUUCUUGUGCUUAUAGGCUUUGCCCAGUCCUCAUUUAUUAGAGCCUUGAAAAUAACCAAAGGUCGGAAGAUAGGACUCCUGAAGGAAAAUAUAUCUUUCGGGAGAAAUUCAUUUAUCCUCUCUCCCUCCCUCUCUCCCUCGCUCCCUCCCUCUCCCACCUCCACAGCCCCGUGGCCUGCUAGACAAAUGCUCCACCGCUGACCGCCCCAGCGGUGUUCCCAGGCUGCAGGGGAGAGCAUUCUGGGUUGCCACUGUCAGUUAGAGGAGUCCUUUCAAAUGUUAUGAGAAACCCUAAGUAGCGGUUGGACCUGCAUUUGCUCUUUUGUUGUUGUUGUUACAAAGAAUUUGAGAGAAAUUUGAGGUCUUGUAAGAAGGUUAGGUGAGAACAAAUUCAACUUCUCACGCCCAGGCUGAUGUUCUCUGGGGCUGAGUUUGCAUCUCUAAACCUCUUUCCGCUUCUUAAUGGAGAUUUGAAGUGUGCAUAGGGAAUGACUGGUGGAGCCUGUGUUACAAAGGUUUCUUUGUGUGUGUAAGGUUAGGAGGGUUUACUAGUAAGUGUUAAUUCACAUGGUAACUUUUGGGGAAAGACAUCCAAGGUGAAAUCCUGCUUUAAUCUGAUAUUCCUUCCAGCUCUGAGAUUUGACCCCUUUUCUUCCUAGCGUUCAGUAACUGUUACCGUUAUUGAAUGAGAAACAGACUCCCGGGCGCGCGUGCAUGCGUGUGCGUGUGCGUGUGCGUGUGCGUGUGUGUGUGUGUGUGUGUGUGUCAUCUCUUAUCCCUGUGGCCUGGAGAUGGCCGACCUGGGAGUGCCCCCAGGCUGCCUCCUUGGGGACUUAAUGGGACAAGGAGGCAGUGGUGCGGCGCGGUGAGUGAGGAAGUCUGCUCAGUCUCCCACCCCGCAGGGUCGAGCCCGCCCAGCGAGAGGGAGGCGGGCUCUGGGGCCACCACGGUCCUUAGGGGAAGUUCUUUCUAGAAGCAGCGGCUGCUAAAGGCGGCACUGCAGGGUACUGCGUCAGAGUAGGCGCACUGCGAAGAUGAAAAACAUCAUUCCCGGAGGGAAGCGAUCGUACCUUGGCGGUUAAAGAGGAGAUUGCGGGGAGCCCCGAGCAGCCAGACCCGAUGGUGGUGUUGGUAGUCCUGACCUCAGCCUGGUAGCCUGACCUUGAACCCAGAGUUCCAGGUUCCCUUCACAACUUCAAGUGAUUGUUGGGCAGCAUUUGAGUGUACACAUUCUGCACCCUUGAGGAAUUUGGAACUACGCGCAAGUUCAAGCCCUGUUUAUUUAUCUUGUGAAUUUAUCACUUGCUUAUUCAGUAUUACAUGUUAAUAUUGUAAACUGCACGCUGAUGUGAAACUUGCAUUGUAAAUUUGCAUAAAUUGGGUAAGAAUUGCCUUAAAGCAAAAGAAAAAGAAAGUAGAUGCUAGAGAAAAAAGACGAGUGAAGAGGGUGAGAAAGGUAAUGUUGAUAGCAAAUAAAAUGAGAAGUUUGAAAUGCAUGGUAAUAGUGAAAAAAACCCAAGACCUCUAAAGGACAUUUUUUGGCAUUAAUGAAUGCCCAAUGUGUACAAAAAAGAAAAAUGAGAAGUCAGUUAGGGCCGGUGCACUGAGUGAUACAUCAGAAUUUCUAGGAAAAUUAUACAUAAUUUGAAAUGCUAAAGUAGAGACAAUGGAAAUAGAUUUACAUUUGUGGAAACUUUCCCUAUGUAUUAUCCACCAGUGAGCGUCACAAAAAUGCGAGUUCAACUUUCUAUCUGGAAGAAAACUUAUAACACGCAUGGCUGGCAGAGAAAGCGGAUCAUGAAGCUGCUGUAGAAUGUCCUGAGUAAUAGAGGAGCCCUGUUGAAGAAAUGGUUUUCCUAAACAUGUUUUCAAUGCUCAGGAAAUGUUCUGUCCUGGAAGUGCACACCAACUUGCACAUCCAUUGUGAAGGGUGAGCAAAGGGCCAGAUAUCUGAAGCCUGAAAAGAAAAGCUCAAAGGACUGCUUCAUUCCAUUGUUGCCGGUCACUUCCUUAUUAAUUUCAGGUUGCUCACAAAUUCCGAUGUCCUUACCUCUGAAUGCCAGGAACAUGUUUCCAUCUCCAUGGAUGGAUACCAUAAAAUCUGGACCACUGAGAAAGUAUUUUUCAACUGGAUUUUGAAGCAUUUUAUUCCUAAUGCUAAACAAUAUUUAAACAAAACAAAUUCUUAAAAGUGUUCCUGAAUCGGGACACUACUCCCACUGAUGAAAGUGUGAGAGUAAAUAUGAUCCUUGUGUUCUAGUCAUCUCCUUUCCCCCUAGUACAAGUUCACUCCUUAAAUCCCUGCCUCUGAGAGUGCUAAAAAUGUUCACUGUGUACUACACUCUGAUAGUAGCUUGGCAAAAUUUCUCCAUUUAUAAUGACUUCACAAUAGUUGAAGAAUCCAUGAGAGAAAAGUCAGUCAACCCUAAAUGGAACCUGGCAGAAACUCUGGAAUGAGGUGAUAGCUGAUUUUCAAGGGUUUCCAGUGGCUUCAGUGUCAAGGUCUUCCAGCAACUCACAGUCUUCCAACAAUCUCAAGGUCUUCCAGACAAUCUCGGUCUUCCAGAAAAUCCAUGUCUUCCGGAAAAUUAAUGUCUUCCACAAUCCUGCAUGUCUUCCAGCAAAUCUCGUCUUCCGCAAGCAAAUCCAGAUCUUCCAGGAAAAUCCAGAUCUUCCAGAAAAAUCCAUGUCUUCCAACAAUUUCAACGUCUUCCUAUGAGUCUGUGUCUUCCAGGAAAAUCUGUGUCUUCCACCAAAUCCAAGUCUUCCAAUGAAUUCAGGUCUUCCAGAAAAAUCCAGGUCUUCCAGCAAACUAUGUCUUCCACCAAAUCAAGUCUUCCAGUCAACUCCUGUCUUCCAGACAAAAUCUGUGUCUUCCACUAAAUCCAGCUCUUCCAGUAAAGCCAUGUCUUCCAGAAAAUUCAUGUCUUCCAGUAAUCUCCAGUUCUUCCAGCCAAUGUAUGUCUUCCUGAAGAUUCAAGUCUUCCAGAAAAUCCACGUCUUCCAGAAAAUUCAUGUCUUCCAUAAAACAUCCAGUCUUCCAGCAAACCAAUAUCUUCCAAAAAAUCCAGGUCUUCCAGACAAUUCAGGUCUUCCAGAAAAUCCACGUCUUCCAGAAAAUCCACGUCUUCCAAAAAAGCUAUGUCUUCCAUCAAACCCAUAGCUUCAAAAAAAUCUAUGUCUUCCAGAAAAUCCAAGUCUUCCAACAAAUUCAUGUCUUCCAUCAGUUUUAUGUCUUUCAGCCUUCCUAUGUCUUCCAACAAAGCUACGUCUUCCAGAAAAUCCAUGUCUUCCAACAAAGUCACGUCUUCCAACAAAGCCGUGUCCUCCGGAAAACCUGUCUUCCAGUGAAGCCAUGUCUUCCAUCAACUCCAUGUCUUCCUACAUCUCCAGGGCUUCCAGCAUCUCCAGGGCUUCCAGCAUCUGCUCGUCUUCCACCAUCUCCACAUCUUCCAGCAUCUUCAGGUCUUCCUACAGCUACCCAGUCUUCCAUCAGCAGGUUUAAUAUCCACGUCUUCCAACAUCUCCGCUGCACCAGCCUUCUAAUAUCCAGGUCUUCCACUGUCUGCAAUAUCCAGGUAUUCUAACUUAUUCUAUAGUCCAGGUCUUAAACCCUUUCCCCAGAUCAAGGCUUUUCCAAAUCUAGUCCUCCUCUGUCCAAGCUUUCCCAUGUUCAAAACUUUCCACAGGGAGAUUGCCAACUCAGGUAUUCCUGCUUCUAGUAUAAUUAGCUUUAAAAAUUCAAUAGGAUAUUCCUACUUACAGGCCAGAUUUUAUGGGCAAGCUGUAAUUUAACUGUGGUUUUGAUAUUAGAAAAUGUGUGUUUAUUCUUUGCAACUUUUUAAAAUAGUGUUCAUAGGAAGUUUUACAGAAUAAACAGGUUACUGGAG